This 253-nucleotide ribosomal RNA is filed under the name uncultured bacterium. Its description in RNAcentral is "partial 16S ribosomal RNA". It matches the Rfam family "Bacterial small subunit ribosomal RNA", at positions 524 to 776 of the family's 1533-position model. The record is from RNAcentral.
UACGGGGGGGGCAAGCGUUGUUCGGAAUUACUGGGCGUAAAGGGCGCGUAGGCGGUUUGCUAAGUUGGAUGUGAAAACUCUGGGCUUAACCCAGAGCCUGCAUCCAAAACUGGCAAACUUGAGUACUGGAGGGGAAAGCGGAAUUCCUGGUGUAGCGGUGAAAUGCGUAGAUAUCAGGAGGAACACCGGUGGCGAAGGCGGCUUUCUGGACAGUAACUGACGCUGAGGCGCGAAAGCGAGAGGAGCAAACAGG